Anguilla anguilla (European eel) is the source of this 192-nucleotide long non-coding RNA. RefSeq lists it as uncharacterized. Lineage: Eukaryota; Metazoa; Chordata; Actinopteri; Anguilliformes; Anguillidae. The transcript has 3 exons. The record is from RefSeq and is a predicted model, not a curated record.
AUUAUGCCGUUCAUUUUAGCGGAGAGUGAACUUCGGUAGUAGAAGACGCUAUCUACCCUCAUGGAACAAAAACGCCAUCAUUCAUUAAUUGCCUCGGCUUGAAUCGUUUGACCUCACCAGGCACCUGUUACAGGGCACGCAGAGUUCACGCAUGGAUGCCAUUUUGUGUCCUGGAUUUGCGGGGGGAGAAAG